Molecule: ribosomal RNA, 724 nt
Filed under: uncultured bacterium
Lineage: Bacteria
Description: bacterial SSU rRNA
Rfam family: Bacterial small subunit ribosomal RNA
Source: RNAcentral
AUCAUGGCUCAGGACGAACGCUGGCGGCGUGCUUAACACAUGCAAGUCGAACGAUGUCCAACCAGUCGCAAGACUGGGGAAGACAGAGUGGCGAACGGGUGAGUAACACGUGAGCAACCUGCCUCGAAGACUGGGAUAACAGCGGGAAACCGCUGCUAAUACCGGAUACCCCCAUCGGGUCGCAUGGCCUGAUGAGGAAAUGAAUUUCGCUUUGAGAGGGGCUCGCGGGCUAUCAGCUUGUUGGUGGGGUAACGGCCCACCAAGGCUACGACGGCUAGCUGGUCUGAGAGGACGACCAGCCACACUGGGACUGAGACACGGCCCAGACUCCUACGGGAGGCAGCAGUGGGGAAUCUUGCGCAAUGGGCGAAAGCCUGACGCAGCAACGCCGCGUGCGGGAUGACGGCCUUCGGGUUGUAAACCGCUUUCAGCAGGGACGAAACUGACGGUACCUGCAGAAGAAGCCCCGGCCAACUACGUGCCAGCAGCCGCGGUAAUACGUAGGGGGCGAGCGUUGUCCGGAUUCAUUGGGCGUAAAGCGCUUUAAGGCGGUUCGCUAAGUCGGGUGUGAAACCUCCAGGCUCAACCUGGAGACGCCACUCGAUACUGGCGUGACUAGAGUUCGGUAGGGGACCACGGAAUUCCUGGUGUAGCGGUGAAAUGCGCAGAUAUCAGGAGGAACACCAGUGGCGAAGGCGGUGGUCUGGGCCGAUACUGACGCUGU